RNAcentral lists this ribosomal RNA (301 nucleotides) under uncultured bacterium. RNAcentral describes it as "partial 16S ribosomal RNA". It matches the Rfam family "Bacterial small subunit ribosomal RNA", at positions 509 to 808 of the family's 1533-position model. The record is from RNAcentral.
CAGUCGCCGCGGGAAUACGAAGGGGCUAGCGUUGUUCGGAAUUAUUGGGCGUAAAGGGUGCGUAGGCGGUUUGAUAAGUCAUCUGUGAAAUCUCUGGGCUCAACCCAGAGUCUGCAGGCGAAACUGUCGGGCUUGAGUAUGGGAGAGGUGAGUGGAAUUUCCGGUGUAGCGGUGAAAUGCGUAGAUAUCGGAAGGAACACCUGUGGCGAAAGCGGCUCACUGGACCAUAACUGACGCUGAUGCACGAAAGCUAGGGGAGCAAACAGGAUUAGAUACCCCCGUAGUCCCUGUCUCUUAUACA